Small nuclear RNA from Suncus etruscus (white-toothed pygmy shrew), 103 nucleotides. The record is from RefSeq and is a predicted model, not a curated record. Lineage: Eukaryota; Metazoa; Chordata; Mammalia; Eulipotyphla; Soricidae.
UGUUAGAAUGCUGUAUCGGGGUGCUCACUCUGAAACCAUACAAAGAUAAGUAUGAUCUCUGUGUAAGGAUGACAUGCAAAUUUGUGAAGCAUUCCAUGUUCUG